ACUUCCUGCAGAAAUCCUCCAGUUAGAAAUGCCUCAGCCAAGGGGACUCAUCUCCUCAAACCUGGGGGACCAAGACCUAUGAGAGGUCACAGCCUGAGCCAGGACAUCAGAGGUACCCAGACACUGUUAUGAAACUCCACAUGUGUCCCUCGUGGACGCUGCUGGACCCAGCACGCACACCUCUCUGCUGAGAGUCACCCUGGAUGAACCACCGUUGGCCAGCGGGGAGCAUGUUGCAGCUUUCCCACGCAGUGGAUGAGAACCAAGGUUACGACCAUUGUGUGGGAGGCGUCUGUGUAGCAAUUGCUGGAAUCACUUGUGGCAAAGACAGCGUGGGAAAGAAGACGCAUUCUGAGGUCACCCCUAUUUGUGUUAAAUGAUCACUUUAACUACUGCUACAGAAGGAAUGUUUAUGUCCCCCACCCAAAUUCAUAUGCUAAGACCUAAUAGCCAAUAAGAUAGUAUGAAUAGAUGGGGCCUUUGGGAGGUGAGUGGCUCAUGAGGGCAGAUUCCUCAAAAUCACGUAAGUGCCCUAAUAAAAGGGGCCCCAGAAAGACCCCUUGAACUGUCCACGAUGUGAAGUGGAGAACACAGCGAGAAGGCCACCUGCAAGUCAGAACGUGGGCCCUCGUCAGAACCUAACUGUGCUGGCACCCUGAUCCUGGACUUCCAGCCUCCAGAAUGACGACAAAUGUUUUUCCUGAGCCAUCCGCUUCAAAGUAUUCUGUCAUAGCUCUCCAAAUAGACUAAGACAUCUACUUAACCUUGGUCAAAUGUUUAACCUUGGAGUCCACACCUGUGAAAUGGUGACGGUAACACUGUGUAUUUCCUACAUUAUGAUCAGGAUUAAUAAAUGUAAUUAAUUAAUCAGAAAUUAGUAAUUUCUCAUUAUUAA
This is a long non-coding RNA of Cercocebus atys (sooty mangabey), 895 nucleotides long. RefSeq lists it as uncharacterized. Lineage: Eukaryota; Metazoa; Chordata; Mammalia; Primates; Cercopithecidae. The record is from RefSeq and is a predicted model, not a curated record. The transcript is spliced from 3 exons.